AGAGUCCUGAUGUGUUCGUUGUAAAACCUGAAAUUUUGACCAACAUUAUUCCUUCGGGAGUCCGGAGUUUUUCAGCAGCGUAAAUGCCUCUGGAUGAGGACUUACAAACGCAGGAAACAGGACACCCACCUGCUGAGUGCGGGUUCAAAACGAGGGCAUCAACAGCGACGGCACGAUUGGGACUCUU
This 187-nucleotide non-coding RNA is filed under the name Paenibacillus sp. FSL R5-0490. Its description in RNAcentral is "6S RNA". It matches the Rfam family "6S / SsrS RNA". From Rfam's summary of the family: E. coli 6S RNA was the first non coding RNA to be sequenced, but its function was unknown until recently. It consists of 184 nucleotides that fold into an extended hairpin structure with a large single-stranded internal bulge. Lineage: Bacteria; Bacillati; Bacillota; Bacilli; Caryophanales; Paenibacillaceae. The record is from RNAcentral. RNAcentral also lists the same sequence under 1 other name.